AAGUCGUAACAAGGUUUCCGUAGGUGAACCUGCGGAAGGAUCAUUACAAAUCCUGUCGGAUGGAGGGGCAACCUUCCUGAUGGCAUACCAAACAUACAACUCUUGUGAACCUAUUUUGCCUCCCCGCAAGGGGUGGGCAUGCUACCUACAAACAUAACUGUAAUGAAUGUAAACCAAACAUAACAAAAUACAA
RNAcentral lists this unclassified non-coding RNA (193 nucleotides) under plant metagenome. RNAcentral describes it as "partial contains small subunit ribosomal RNA and internal transcribed spacer 1". The stretch from base 1 to 46 matches the Rfam family "Eukaryotic small subunit ribosomal RNA", at positions 1786 to 1831 of the family's 1831-position model. The record is from RNAcentral.